GAUCGGUCGGUCCGCCGGGCAGAUAGUCCGGCUCGGAGCCGGGUCCGCGCGGUUCGUCGAUGUUCGGAUCAUCGACCGGGUA
This 82-nucleotide transfer RNA is filed under the name Methylorubrum extorquens. RNAcentral's name for it is "tRNA-Pro". The record is from RNAcentral. Lineage: Bacteria; Pseudomonadati; Pseudomonadota; Alphaproteobacteria; Hyphomicrobiales; Methylobacteriaceae.